This 514-nucleotide ribosomal RNA is filed under the name Anophryoides haemophila. Its description in RNAcentral is "partial Bacterial large subunit ribosomal RNA". It matches the Rfam family "Bacterial large subunit ribosomal RNA", at positions 1294 to 1713 of the family's 2925-position model. The record is from RNAcentral. Lineage: Eukaryota; Ciliophora; Oligohymenophorea; Philasterida; Glauconematidae.
AUGCAGGCAUGAGUAACGAAUUGAUAGGUGAGAAUCCUAUCCGCCGGAUGACUAAGGGUUCCUGGGUCAAGUUCGUCUUCCCAGGGUGAGUCGGGACCUAAGGCGAGGCCGACAGGCGUAGUCGAUGGAUAACCAGUUGAUAUUCUGGUACCCGUAUGUCCGCGCCCAUGAUAAAGCACUGAUACUAACCACCGCGGAUAUGAUUGAUGUGUUCUUUGAGCACGUUGGUUGUUGAUGUCGUGGGGCCUGAUGUGUGGUUCAAGUGAUGGGGUGACACAGAGUAGUAGCCAUGCCGCUUAGUGGAUUGUUGGUGUAAGCGUGUGAGGUGGUGUGUAGGUAAAUCCGCACACCGUAUAGCCUGAGGCGUGAUGCGUAGCCCGAUUGGGUGAAGUUGGUGAUCUAGUACUGUCGAGAAAAGCCUCUAGCGAUGUGGAUGUAUGGCCCGUACCCUAAACCGACACAGGUGGUCAGGUUGAAAAUACUAAGGCGUUCGGGUGAACUGUGGUUAAGGAAC